UCCUUCAUAGCUCAGUCGGUAAAGCAUCUGUCUGCAAUAUAGGAGACCUGGGUUCAAUUCCUGGGUCAGGAA
RNAcentral lists this transfer RNA (72 nucleotides) under Bos taurus (domestic cattle). It matches the Rfam family "tRNA". Rfam says of the family: Transfer RNA (tRNA) molecules are approximately 80 nucleotides in length. Their secondary structure includes four short double-helical elements and three loops (D, anti-codon, and T loops). Further hydrogen bonds mediate the characteristic L-shaped molecular structure. tRNAs have two regions of fundamental functional importance: the anti-codon, which is responsible for specific mRNA codon recognition, and the 3' end, to which the tRNAs corresponding amino acid is attached (by aminoacyl-tRNA synthetases). tRNAs cope with the degeneracy of the genetic code in two manners: having more than one tRNA (with a specific anti-codon) for a particular amino acid; and 'wobble' base-pairing, i.e. permitting non-standard base-pairing at the 3rd anti-codon position. The record is from Rfam by way of RNAcentral. RNAcentral also lists the same sequence under 1 other name. Lineage: Eukaryota; Metazoa; Chordata; Mammalia; Artiodactyla; Bovidae.